AGUCGAGGGGCAGCAUGGGAGUAGCAAUACUUCUGAUGGCGACCGGCGCACGGGUGCGUAACGCGUAUGCAACCUACCUGUAACAGGGGGAUAACACUGAGAAAUCGGUACUAAUACCGCAUAACACUGUGAGAGGCAUCUCUUGUGGUUGAAAGUUUCGGCGGUUACAGAUGGGCAUGCGUUGUAUUAGCUGGUUGGUAAGGUAACGGCUUACCAAGGCGACGAUACAUAGGGGGACUGAGAGGUUAACCCCCCACAUUGGUACUGAGACACGGACCAAACUCCUACGGGAGGCAGCAGUGAGGAAUAUUGGUCAAUGGACGGAAGUCUGAACCAGCCAUGCCGCGUGCAGGAAGACGGCUCUAUGAGUUGUAAACUGCUUUUGUACAAGGGUAAACCUGAAUACGUGUAUUCAGCUGAAAGUACUGUACGAAUAAGGAUCGGCUAACUCCGUGCCAGCAGCCGCGGUAAUACGGAGGAUCCAAGCGUUAUCCGGAUUUAUUGGGUUUAAAGGGUGCGUAGGCGGAUUGAUAAGUUAGAGGUGAAAUGUCCGAGCUCAACUCGGGAACUGCCUCUAAUACUGUUGAUCUAGAGAGUAGAUGCGGUAGGCGGAAUGUAUGGUGUAGCGGUGAAAUGCUUAGAGAUCAUACAGAACACCGAUUGCGAAGGCAGCUUACCAAUCUAUAUCUGACGUUGAGGCACGAAAGCGUGGGGAGCAAACAGGAUUAGAUACCCUGGUAGUCCACGCAGUAAACGAUGAUAGCUCGUUGUCGGCGAUACACAGUCGGUGACUAAGAGAAAUCGAUAAGCUAUCCACCUGGGGGAGUACGUUCGCAAGAAUGAAACUCAAAGGAAUUGACGGGGGCCCGCACAAGCGGAGGAACAUGUGGUUUAAUUCGAUGAUACGCGAGGAACCUUACCCGGGCUUGAAAGUUAGUGACUGAUCUGGAAACAGGUCUUCCCUUCGGGGCACGAAACUAGGUGCUGCAUGGUUGUCGUC
RNAcentral lists this ribosomal RNA (1000 nucleotides) under Alistipes okayasuensis. RNAcentral describes it as "16S ribosomal RNA". It matches the Rfam family "Bacterial small subunit ribosomal RNA", at positions 60 to 1056 of the family's 1533-position model. Lineage: Bacteria; Pseudomonadati; Bacteroidota; Bacteroidia; Bacteroidales; Rikenellaceae. The record is from RNAcentral.